RNAcentral lists this long non-coding RNA (4871 nucleotides) under Canis lupus familiaris (dog). RNAcentral's name for it is "lncRNA (ENSCAFG00000053003.1)". Lineage: Eukaryota; Metazoa; Chordata; Mammalia; Carnivora; Canidae. The record is from RNAcentral.
UUUUUUUUAAAGCAAAUAACAAUGAUACAUGCAGUAUAUGAUUUAAUAAUCACUUACCAUCCCAUAUGCCCUUCAAAUUACAGGACAUUCAUAUAUAAGGCAUAUUUAGAAAAAGAUGGAAGGAAUUUGUUACAAUUCAAAAAAAAGAUGGAAGGAUACAUAAAAAAUCAUUAUUAGCAACUAUUUGUGGGGAGGAAGGGGAAAUAGUAGGAAGGAGAAUAUAUACUUCAACUUUAUCUACAAUAUUUCAUUUCUUUUGACAAAAAAAAAAAUCUGCAACAACUAUGCCAAAAUGUUCACAUCUGUUAAUUUUGGUGAAGGCCCUCUGGUAUUUUCCUGUUUUCUUUGCUAGUCAAUAGUUCUGAAAUUUUACCCAAACUGUUUUUUUUUUUUAAGGGGGAUUGAAUUUUUUCACCCAAUUAAAUUAUCACACAGAACAUAGCUGACAUAUCUUGCCUAAAUAACUCCAGGGUGAACAGAGUGAAGUUCACUUCUUCACCAAGCAGCCAACUUCUACUUUGGAUUCCUAACAUAAUUCUUGAAAUAGAACGGCCUAAUUAGCAACUCUAAACUCUGGUUCAAUCCCUGGAAAUUUAUCUAUAGAGUGGGGCUUACCUAUGGCCAAGUUCACAGCAGCAGAAACUAGGAGCACAACGUUCAGUAGAAGCAAAGAGGAAGAUGCAAGAAGUGAGAGAAUUCUGAAUAAAUCCAAUAUCCCCCCUCACACCUCAAUCAUGAUCCCCAUUCCCUCCUCCAACUCCUUCCUCAAAAGUCAGGGGAUCCCUGGGUGGCUCAGCGGUUUGGUGCCUGCCUUUGGCCCAGGGCCCGAUCCUGGAGUCCCGGGAUCGAGUCCCAUGGUGGGCUCCCUGCAUGGAGCCUGCUUCUCCCUCUGCCUGUGUCUCUGCCAUUCUCUCUCUCUCUCUCUCUCUCUCUCUCUAUCAUAAAUAAAUAAAUAAAUCUUAAAAAAAAAGUCAGCCAUCUGCAGAAACAUUCUGCAGCAUAGUGACUCUUUCUUGUGAACCAGUGAACUAGUCUUUUGGGUUAGCUAUUUACUCACUACAGAAAUGCACAGCAUGUUCUUUAAGAAAUCCAUGCAAGGGCACAUGAGUGGCUCAACUGGUUAAGUGCCCAACUCUUGAUUUCAGCUCAGGUCAUGAUCCCAGGGUAAUGAGAUUAAGCCUCGCAUUGGGCUGAGUGCUCAGCAUGGAGUCUACUUAAGAUUCUCUCUCUCCCUCUGCCCCUCCUUCCCAUGCAUGCACACUCUCCUUUCUCUAAAAUAAAUAGAUCUUAAAACACACACACACACACACACACACACACACACACACACACAGAAAUCCUUGCACUGAAUCGAUCAUUAUCAUACCACACAGGCAGCAGAGAAUAAUAGCAGAAUCCCUCCACCCUCUAAGACACCUCUACUGAUUCUUCCUCCUAUCAAUGUCUUAGUCUUAAAAUGUUCCCACCAUCAAAUCCAAGAAAACUCCAGUCUAACCUGUGGCUAAAUGAUUCCUUACAAUUAUUCCUGUUGUGAGCCCUGGUGAGGAGAACAUACAGAGUGAGAUCGGGCUACCUGAACAGGCCAAACUCUUAGGCAGAUCUGCACUUCCACAGUGUAUGCAAACCAUAGCAGGCAGGCCUGACUCGGGCUACUCCUAACACAGUGGAGGUUGAAGACAAGGGAACACAUACUCACACAGCUUGUAUUCCAUUUUUCUUUUUUUUUUUUUUUUUAACCAACAUGAGAUCCAGUUUAGUAACUCCCAGACCCUUUAAACCAAGAGGACAAAAAUAAAUUUAAGAAGGUAAUAUUACUGUGUACUCACUCAACACAUGCCAGUUUUAGGAACACUAGAUAUAAAGAAGUAGGACAGUACCGUUGCAAUUUACAUAUCAAGGAGCAAAAUUCCUUUUAAUAGGGUAUAAGCCUAAAGGAGGCAAUUUCUAGUACUCUUGGCUCUAGAUAAUAAUAGCAACAGAACAAUGGAAUUUCUUAGAAUCUAGACCUCCAAAGGUGGGCCAGUGUGACAAUGGAGCCCCUGCUUAUUAUAGACCAGCACAGACCACAUGAAGAUAACAACAGACAACCUCCAAUGACAGCGUCAAACCAGGACCAUGACAGAUAACAGAUGUGCCUAUGAAGCAAUCUAGGAUGUCAAUGCAGACAAAAGAAAAAGUUGUAUGUCUCAGAACACAUUCCUAUGUCUUACUAGAGUAGAAGGUAUAUAAAAACGAGUAAGGAAAAAAAAAAAAAAACGAGUAAGGAAAAAUAACCAUAGUGGGGCCUAAAUAUAAUAGGCUUUGAAGGUCCCAUGAAGUAAUUUAGACUCUGAGUGGUACAGCCGAAGAAUCAACGGCCAUUUUUAAAAAGCAAGACACUUCUGCAUAGAUAGAAUGAAGUGGAAUCAGGAAUGUCAGCUAAGUGCUAAUUACUGCAGUCUACACAAAAGGCAAUAAAUAUCUAAGGUGACCAUAGUAGUAAUAAUAGUGACAGGAAUGACACCGCGAAACACUGAUAAGAAAGAAGACAGCAUCUGGUUAUUGACUAGCUGGCACAGAUAGGAAAAAAAAAUCAGCAUUUUAGGGUAUUUAACAAUAUGGUUAAUUAGUAAUAAAAAGCAAUUACCAUGUACUGCUCCUUGAUUUGUGCCAGGUCCUAUACUAAGUGCUUCAUGUGUGUUAUCUAAUUUAUUCUCACUACCAUCAUAUGAGGUGGGUACUAUGAUUAGCCUGUUUCAGAUAAGAAAAUUGAGGCUUAGAGAUGAAAUAAGUUAUCUAAAUUCAUAAGACUAACAAUGAGCAGAACUGGAAUGUGAAUCCAAAAAGGUUUAGGACAGUAUUCAGCUUAAAAGAGAAGGAAAUUCUCACAACUAACAUAUUCAAUGAUGAAAAGGUGAGAGCUUUACCUCUAAGAUCAGGGACAAGGAUGCCAAUCUCACCACUUUAUUCAACAUAGUGCCAGAAGUUCUAGCCUCAACAAUGAGGCAAGAAAAAGGAAAGACAUCCAAAUCAGAAAGGAAGAAGUAAAACUGUCACUAUUUGCCGAUGAUGUGUGUGUGUGUAUAUAUAUAUAUUUAAAUAUAUAUAUUUACAUAUAUCAUAAUAUAUAUAAAUAAAACCCCAAUGAUUCCACCAAAAAAAAUGUUAAAAUCAAGGUUUAACCAAGGUAAGGUUGCACGGUAUAAAUUUAAUAUGAAAAAAUCUAUUGCUUUUCUAUACACUAAUAAAGUAACAGAAAGAGAAAGAAAACAAUGCCAUAUACAAAAACAUCAAAAAGAAUAAAACAUCUAGACCUAAAUUUAAUGAAAGAAGUAAAAGACUUGCACACUGAAAACUCUAAGACACUAAUAAAAGAAACAAAGAUGACAAAUAUAUUCCAUGCACAGAUAGGAAAAAAAAGAGUAGACUGAAAGAGUAUUGUUAAAAUGCCCAUACCACUCAAAGCAAUCUACAGAUUUAAUGCAAUCCCUAUCAAAAUUCCAAUGGAAUUUUCACAGAACAGUUAGAACAAACAAUCCUAAAAUUUGUAUGGAACAACAAAAGAUUGCCAGUCAAGGCAAUCUUGAGAAAAAAAGAACAAAGCUGGAGGCAUUAGACUCCCUGAUUUCAAAGUAUAUUACAAAGCUAUACUAACCAAAACAGUAUGAUAUUGCAUAAAAACAGACACAUAAAUCAAUGGAACAGAACAGAUAUCCCAGAAGUAAACCCAAGCAUAUAUGGUCAAUUUAUGACAAAAUAGCCAAGAACAUACAAUGGGAAAAGGACAGUCUCUUCAAUAAAUGCUGCUGGGAAAACUGGACAGCUUCAUGCAAGAGAAUGAAAUUCAACCACUAUCUUACACCAUACACAAAGAUGAACUCAAAAUGGAUUGAAGACUUAACUGUAAGAUCUGAAACUAUAAAAGUCCUGGGGAAAAAACCAUAGGCAGCAAGCAUCUCAACAUCAGUCUUAGCAAAAUUUUGUGGACUGACCCAAAGUGAGACUACAUACAUAAAAGGAAAAAUCUUUUGCACAGCAAAGGAAACCAUCGACCAAACAAAAAGGCAACCUUGUACCAAAUGGGUAAAUAUAUAUGCAAAUGAUAUAUCCAAUAUGGGGUCAAUAUACAAAAUAUAUAAAGGACUCUUAGAACUCAAUAGCAAAAACAAAUUUAAUUUAAAAAUGGGCAGAGGAUCUGAACAGACAUUUCUCCAAAGACAUAAAGAUAGCCAACAGAUUCAAAAGCAGAUGUUCAACAUCACUAAUCAUCAGGAAAACACAAAUGAGAUAUCACCUCCCAUCUGUUGGAAUGUCUAUUAUCAAAAACAAGAAGAGAUCAGCAGUUUAGCUCCUGCCUUCAGCGUGAUCCUGGGGUCCUGGGAUCAAGCUCCGCAUCAGGCUCCCUGCCUGUGUCUCCACCCCUCUCUCUCCCUCUCUCUCUCUCUCUCUCUCUCUCUCUCUCUCUCAUGAAUAAAUAAAUAAAAAUCUUUAGAAAAAAAAACAAGAAAACAAGAAUAUAGAUAUAGGAUUGAGGAUAUAGAUAAGAGAGAAUUGAGGAUACUGAUAAAAGAGAAUCCCUGUGCCUGGUGGUAGGAAUGUAAAUCGGCACAGUCACUACUGAAAAGAGUAUGGAGAUUCUUCAAAAAAAAAAUUUAAAAACUAGAACUCCCAUAUGUUACAACUCCACUUCUGGGUAUUUAUCAGAAGAGAAGAGACAAGAGAAAAAAGACAACACCAAUUCAAAAGAUAUAUGCACCUCCAUGCUCACCGCAGCAUUAUUCACAAGAGCCAAGAUAUGGAAACAACCUUAGUGUCCAUCAAUGGAUAAAGAAACUGUACACACACACAUACACACACACUAAAAUACUAUUCAGCCAAAAAAAAAAAAAAAA